GACGAACGCUGGCGGCGUGCUUAACACAUGCAAGUCGAACGGUGAAGCGCCUUCCUUUUUGGUGGGUGUGGAUGAGUGGCGAACGGGUGAGUAACACGUGAGUAACCUGCCCCCUUCUUCUGGAUAACCGCAUGAAAGUGUGGCUAAUACGGGAUAUUCUGGGUCUGUCGCAUGAUGGGUCUGGGAAAGAUAUUGUUUCGGUGGGGGAUGGGCUCGCGGCCUAUCAGCUUGUUGGUGGGGUGAUGGCCUACCAAGGCGGUGACGGGUAGCCGGCCUGAGAGGGUGGACGGUCACACUGGGACUGAGACACGGCCCAGACUCCGACGGGAGGCAGCAGUGGGGAAUAUUGCACAAGGGGCGCAAGCCUGAUGCAGCGACGCCGCGUGAGGGAUGGAGGCCUUCGGGUUGUGAACCUCUUUCGCCAGUGAAGCAGGCCUGCCUCGUUUGUGGGUGGGUUGACGGUAGCUGGAUAAGAAGCGCCGGCUAACUACGUG
Molecule: ribosomal RNA, 494 nt
Filed under: uncultured bacterium
Lineage: Bacteria
Description: partial 16S ribosomal RNA
Rfam family: Bacterial small subunit ribosomal RNA
Source: RNAcentral